AUAGAUGGAGGUUGGCACUUGAUUAGCACGUGUCAUGUUUGGAAUUUUUACUAAGAUGAAUGAAUUUCUUAAUAAUGAAAAAAGUGCAUGACAUGAUGAAUUACGAGGGACAGGACAUUUUCUCUCAUUAACACAUGCAGAAUAAUUUUUCAAAUGAAAUUUGAGUCAUCAAGACUUUGUAUUUCUUUCAUCUUUUUUAGUUGAAAGAUGGAUCCAAAUUUGUACGGACUCCACUUCUUUGAAAGAGCAUUUUACUUUUUCUUGUAUUUUUCUGCGAUAUACAACCAAAGAACUUCUAUUUAUGCCAGUUAGUUUAAUCAUGCUUUUGGGAGGUGUUGUUAUGUAUUCAAUCCAGAGCAUUGAACGUUGUAUUGGUAUCUUAAAUCUUUAAUGUGUUGCAGAAAAGCGCUGGCUUCUGUACUAGUAUCUUAAAAUUUUUAUGGGGUGCUUCCGUAAUAUUCAAGAUCUUAAUCCAAAGUACUUUUGAUAAAUUGGGAUGAGUAGCUCAUAGAAGGUAUUCCAUUCUUCAAACUUUUCUCUUUUAAUUCAGACUUGUUUGAUGAGCUACUCUUCCAAGGAUAUAGUCUGAUCGAUACCGUCAAUGAAAUCUCAAAACUCAUUUGGUCUUUUUUCACGUUCAGUCAAUUUGAAUCUAAGCAUCAGUCUUUAUAACCGUUUGACACAUGGUAGAAGUCUUAUUUGAUGCACUGAAUACAUGCUUACACAGGUUUUGUCACAGGUGGAGUUUAGCAAACUAGCUAAUACCAGACAUUCUUCCAUUCAGGGUGUCAAAUGCAAGGAUAAAGGUUCAUCCGCCACGUGGCAUAGAGUGAAGGCUGUUGCUUCCAAAUUCAGCUGUCAGAUGAUUUCCAGAACCAAGCCAGCACACUCUUUUCCACAUUAAUCAAACUCAAGUGUUGAGCCAGAUAAGAGGGACAGAAACUACUGGCAUCUCGCCAUCAACAGAGCAAGAAGAUGUGCCACUUGACAGGGCAUCGACUAUCCCUUCUUUGGCAACAAUUGGUUCUGCUGUGCCUCCUCCUGCUGCUCAACCAUAGUCAUCAUCAGCAAUGGACAAAGAUAAAGCCCCUAUAAUUGUCGAGGCAGAUUUACGCGGUGGUGGAGAGGAAUCUCUUAUCUCAAAGAUCGAGUCUCUUUUGAGUGAUGACUCAGGAAAGCAAAAUACUGGGACAGAGAUGUCACAAGCAAGUCAUUUUGAUCUUCAAGCAUACCAGAAUGCAUCGCAAGAGUUGGAAAUUACAAUGAGUCAGGGACUCCAGGCAAUCGUGUUUAAUCCCAAGCUACUUGGUCAAUUGCAAGAAUUACUGAACUUCUUAGUCGAACAAAAUGCACCAGAGGUCUCUACUAUUGGAUAUCAAUGUGUCUAUCUCAAAUUGCAGAACUUUAUUCAGACUCAGGUGACUCCCUCUCUUCCCAAUAAAAGAUCCUCAUUGAAUGUGAGGGGUUAGAAUGGGAGCUCAAAAUGGAAAAGUUUCUUUUGGCGUCUGACAAGGAUGAAGUUCGUUUGAUCAAGAAACAAUG
Molecule: long non-coding RNA, 1542 nt
Organism: Eucalyptus grandis
Lineage: Eukaryota; Viridiplantae; Streptophyta; Magnoliopsida; Myrtales; Myrtaceae
Exons: 3
Source: RefSeq, a predicted model, not a curated record